UCUUAUCAAGAGCAGGCGGAGGGACUAGCCCUAUGAAGCCCGGCAACCGGCGUCGACGACGCACGGUGCUAAUUCUUGCGGAAACGGACGCGGACGCGGCGUUUCUGACAGAUGAGA
Molecule: non-coding RNA, 117 nt
Filed under: uncultured Cohnella sp.
Lineage: Bacteria; Bacillati; Bacillota; Bacilli; Caryophanales; Paenibacillaceae
Description: SAM riboswitch (S box leader)
Rfam family: SAM riboswitch aptamer (S box leader)
About the family: The SAM riboswitch is found upstream of a number of genes which code for proteins involved in methionine or cysteine biosynthesis in Gram-positive bacteria. The SAM riboswitch acts at the level of transcription termination control. The predicted structure consists of a complex stem-loop region followed by a single stem loop terminator region.
Source: RNAcentral